RNAcentral lists this ribosomal RNA (257 nucleotides) under uncultured bacterium. RNAcentral's name for it is "partial 16S ribosomal RNA". It matches the Rfam family "Bacterial small subunit ribosomal RNA", at positions 524 to 776 of the family's 1533-position model. The record is from RNAcentral.
UACGUAGGUGGCGGAGCGUUGUCCGGAUUUAUUGGGUUUAAAGGGUGCGUAGGCGGUCCUAUAAGUCAGUGGUGAAAUAUCGCAGCUCAACUGUGAGGGUGCCAUUGAUACUGUAGGACUUGAGUGAAUUUGAGGUAGCGGAAUUGACGGUGUAAGCGGUGAAAUGCUUAGAUAAUCGUCAAGAACACCGAUAGUGAAGACAGCUUACCAAGCUUCAACUGACGCUGAGGCACGAAAAGUGUGGGGAGUCAAACAGG